AGCGAACGCUGGCGGCAGGCCUAACACAUGCAAGUCGAACGAACUCUUCGGAGUUAGUGGCGGACGGGUGAGUAACACGUGGGAACGUGCCCUUUGGUUCGGAAUAACUCAGGGAAACUUGUGCUAAUACCGAAUGUGCCCUUCGGGGGAAAGAUUUAUCGCCAUUAGAUCGGCCCGCGUCUGAUUAGCUAGUUGGUGAGGUAACGGCUCACCAAGGCGACGAUCAGUAGCUGGUCUGAGAGGAUGACCAGCCACACUGGGACUGAGACACGGCCCAGACUCCUACGGGAGGCAGCAGUGGGGAAUCUUGCGCAAUGGGCGAAAGCCUGACGCAGCCAUGCCGCGUGAAUGAUGAAGGUCUUAGGAUUGUAAAAUUCUUUCACCGGGGACGAUAAUGACGGUACCCGGAGAAGAAGCCCCGGCUAACUUCGUG
Molecule: ribosomal RNA, 433 nt
Filed under: uncultured bacterium
Lineage: Bacteria
Description: partial 16S ribosomal RNA
Rfam family: Bacterial small subunit ribosomal RNA
Source: RNAcentral